CCCACAGGCCAGAAGCAGCACAGGCUGAAGACAAGAAGAUAGAAAGAUUCUAGUGACUAGAUUUUGUGGAAGGCACAGCUGCAAAUCUGACCAACUGCAUGUUUCCUAAUGUCAAACCAAGUCAUCUGCGCAAGAGCUCUGAUGACUUGACUUUAAGCUACAUAAAGCAGUCCAAUCCUUCACCUAUGGAGUUUGCAAAGUCUGGAGAACUGGAGCUCUACUCGUCUCUUCUGAAAAGCUUAGCUGGUGGUUAAACAGGCAGUUUAACUGACAAGCCCAAAGUCAAGAGUGAGUGGUAGAACUGGGAACAGAACCGUGGAGAUCUGAGCCCAAAUCAGUACACGUACACUGCCUGCUAUUAUGCAGUCGAAGCCAGUAAGAAUCCUGUGGCCUAGUUUGGUUCAAGAAUUAAAGGGCAAAGUGAACUGAUCAGUGAAAGAGUGAAGGGACACACACAUCACACCAACAACAGAGAAUGCAGAAGCACUGUUAGCCGCAGAGAUGACAGAUUGCUGGAGACAAGGUGGAAAGCAAAAAGCUGCAGCUGCAAGUCUGCUCUCUAGUGGUCAUCCAGAAAUGGGGCAGCGCUGCUCCUAGAGUAAUAGUGGAUGCAAGCACUUGUCAAGUGUCACCUUAAUGUCAGUGUGUAAUAUCUGCAAAGAAGUUCUAUGAUUGCAGAGAGAAAAGAUGCUACCAAUUUUUAGGAUGAAAAUUCUCAAAUUCUGACUUUUCAUUCUGAAUGAUGAGAACUGAAAACCCACAAACCGAACAAAAUAUUAACAAAAAUUAAAAAAAAAAAAAGAGGAUGUUAGUGUGUUUUCUUCAGAUUUGUGGGUUUUACAAAUUCUAAAAUAUUGUAUUGGUGUAAUACUUGCCUUAAUUUAAUAUCUAGAAAUAAAGAGGAUGAUAAAAAGUCUUUGCCAUGAACCUCAUGGUGUAUCUGCUGAUCAGGUCUUAAUGUA
Molecule: long non-coding RNA, 962 nt
Organism: Trachemys scripta elegans
Lineage: Eukaryota; Metazoa; Chordata; Testudines; Emydidae
Exons: 4
Source: RefSeq, a predicted model, not a curated record